CAGUAGCCGCGGUAAUACGUAGGUGGCAAGCGUUGUCCGGAAUUACUGGGCGUAAAGCGUGCGUAGGCGGUUUGUUAAGUCUGUUGUGAAAUCCCCGGGCUCAACCUGGGAAUGGCAAUGGAUACUGGCAAGCUAGAGUGUGUCAGAGGAUGGUGGAAUUCCCGGUGUAGCGGUGAAAUGCGUAGAGAUCGGGAGGGACAUCAGUGGCGAAGGCGGCCAUCUGGGACAACACUGACGCUGAGGCACGAAAGCGUGGGGAGCAAACAGGAUUAGAUACCCGCGUAGUCCCUGUCUCUUAUAA
Molecule: ribosomal RNA, 301 nt
Filed under: uncultured bacterium
Lineage: Bacteria
Description: partial 16S ribosomal RNA
Rfam family: Bacterial small subunit ribosomal RNA
Source: RNAcentral